ACCACAGUAUGUGGCACUCUUCAGAUAAAUUGACCUAAUGACAAUUAGGUCAAUUUAUCUGUAGACAAUUAGGUCAAUUAGGUCAAUUUAUCUGAAGAGUGCCACAUACUGUGGUAC
Non-coding RNA from Paramuricea clavata, 117 nucleotides. NCBI's taxonomy places the organism in Eukaryota, Metazoa, Cnidaria, Anthozoa, Malacalcyonacea, Plexauridae. The record is from the annotation of a GenBank genome assembly.